Molecule: long non-coding RNA, 673 nt
Filed under: Triticum aestivum (bread wheat)
Lineage: Eukaryota; Viridiplantae; Streptophyta; Magnoliopsida; Poales; Poaceae
Description: long non-coding RNA (TAES_LNC028035)
Source: RNAcentral
CCUUCGCCAACCUCCACUCCUCCAUGAGGUACGCAUACAUUUCUAUUGCUAUUGCUUGUACUUUGUUCCAGAUGUAUUCCUUUGACUAAUGAACCUAGCAGGAUCAAAGUCUAGAAUAUCCACACCAAAAUGCAUUGGCCUGCUGAACCCUUGUGCUGGUUAGAACGCAGAAUUGUGAUAUUGUGCUGGGAGCACUCUUGCUACAAUUAUCAGUUAGAUUUCAGCUUUGCAUCUUUUCAGGUUUAACAGUAGGUUUACGUUGAAACUGUUAAGCAAGUAUCAAAUUGAGUGCAUAGUGUGCAAUUUGUGUUUAGUAAUCUAGUAGCUCAUAAGCAUCAGACCAUAUGUUUUCUUAUAAGCAAAUUAUAUUGAUGGUUGCAAGACAAGUUAAAAUAUACUAGUGCUACCUUGAUUUUAUACUGCUUGCCAUUUAUUUCUUUGUUUGAUGUUUUAUAUGCUUCUGAUGCGUGAUCCUUCUAAUGCUAGGUGAUUUGUUUCUUGGAAUUUGGAAGAGGAAGACGAUGAAACGUGGUGGUUAUCUAUCAAUAUGCCUUGUGUUCUGGUUGUACUUCAUAGCUAGUUACAUUGUAUUCUGUACUGGUCUGGUUGUAUGAACACUAUGUAAAGAUUGUAAUAGGCUAAUUUUGGCUAUCAUUUCAAGUAUAUAGUUCUG